GGAAAGAUUUUUCGGUCUGGGAUGGGCUCACGGCCUAUCAGCUUGUUGGUGAGGUAAUGGCUCACCAAGGCGUCAACGGGUAGCCGGCCUGAGAGGGUGACCGGCCACACUGGGACUGAGACACGGCCCAAACUCCUACGGGAGGCAGCAGUGGGGAAUAUUGCACAAUGGGCGAAAGCCUGAUGCAGCAACGCCGCGUGAGGGAUGACGGCCUUCGGGUUGUAAACCUCUUUUAGCAGGGAAGAAGCGAAAGUGACGGUACCUGCAAAAAAAGCGCCGGCUAACUACGUGCCAGCAGCCGCGGUAAUACGUAGGGCGCAAGCGUUAUCCGGAAUUAUUGGGCGUAAAGAGCUCGUAGGCGGUUUGUCGCGUCUGCUGUGAAAUCCCGAGGCUCAACCUCGGGUCUGCAGUGGGUACGGGCAGACUAGAGUGCGGUAGGGGAGAUUGGAAUUCCUGGUGUAGCGGUGGAAUGCGCAGAUAUCAGGAGGAACACCGAUGGCGAGGCAGAUCUCUGGGCCGUUACUGACGCUGAGGAG
RNAcentral lists this ribosomal RNA (536 nucleotides) under Microbacterium sp. Its description in RNAcentral is "bacterial SSU rRNA". It matches the Rfam family "Bacterial small subunit ribosomal RNA", at positions 201 to 753 of the family's 1533-position model. The record is from RNAcentral. Lineage: Bacteria; Bacillati; Actinomycetota; Actinomycetes; Micrococcales; Microbacteriaceae.